Molecule: long non-coding RNA, 1454 nt
Organism: Trichomycterus rosablanca
Lineage: Eukaryota; Metazoa; Chordata; Actinopteri; Siluriformes; Trichomycteridae
Exons: 3
Source: RefSeq, a predicted model, not a curated record
AUUCUAUUGUCAGGGCUUCUGAACGUUGAUAUGAGAUUUAACAAUUCAUUCACAAUAAUGAGAUUCUCUUCACUGUUGCUUCUUCUGGAUGGAGUUUGCUCUUAAAAAAACAAAGAAGAGAAUGUUUAAAAAAAAAAAAAGUCCUCACAAUUGACAAAAAGUGCAACUAACUAGUGAAAAAAAGAUUUUAAAUUCGCUUUCAAUGAUGAGACAUCUGGUAUCAGAUAAACCCAACGUGAGCCGAGCUGAAGAUCCUGCUGCAGUUCCAACAUCAAAACCUCAGCUCACCAGAAGAUCAUCUCUGACUGUUCCUCCUUAUUUACGAUCCGCUUCACAUCCAGAGACUGCUGAGUUGGAGAUUCCAAUCACCUCUCAUGUCCAAAAGGGUUUGUCCAGGAUAGGUCCAGCAAAUAGGACCUAGAUAGCAGCAUGAUAACAUGGCAACCUCACCCAGAGGUCGUCCACAGUUUCUACUACAGCCGAGACCAGCUGCAGCACCAGAGCUGCCGAUACACCAACCAUCUGGAGCUAAUAAAUGUGAAUACAUCUCUUAGGCUGGACCGUAUAGGUCUGAAAAAUGCUUGGGAGCAGACCUGCUCUUUUAGCUUUCUGGGCAGCUAAGCAGCCAAAGAAAAAGUUAUAUAAUGUUUGGACGAAGUUGCUUCAUAAUCACUUGUACUUCAUGUUGAUUUAUUGUAAAUGCAUUCUGAGGAUUGAGUUGAACUUUUGUACUAUACUUUUUACACUUUUCUAAAAUAUGCUUUAUAUUGCUUUAUAAAAAAUAAUGAAAGCAAACAUGAGUAUAAUUUGUUUAGCAGCUUAAAUUUAUUAUGUUCUAAUCAAUUUCAAAACAGGGUGGCAGGGUGGCACGGUGGCUCGGUGGGUAGCAUUGUCGCCUCACAGCAAGAAGGUCCUGGGUUUGAUUCCCAAGUGGACCAUUCUGUGAUCUUUCUGUGUGGAGUUUGCAUGUUCUCCAUUUGCAUUUCCUCUGGUUUCCUUCUGGUCAAACAGACAAUGAAUAAAUAAAUUAAUGAUUGUCAAUACAACAAUUAUUAAUAUAAAACCUGGUGUUAGCUGCAGCAGGAUGUUCUGUAUUAUUAUGUUGACUUUUUACUUGAUUAAUGGAACAGUUAUGACUAAUUUUGUUUUAUUCUGUUGGUUUCAUUUCAAAAAUUAAUUAAUUCUGUUGAUUCACUUACACUGUUUUUGCUGAAUACUUUUAUGUGUUUUUUUUUUUUUUGCUGGUAAAUGAAAUGUUAAUGUGCUUUGUUCAUUUAAUGUACAUUUUUGUAUAAACUUGUGAGACUCAACAGUGUGGCAUGGUUAUUGCAGAAUGGAUGAAUGGAUGGAUGGACCCUGAGAGUGAAUUAUUAUUGAUUACAUUAUACAGUAUUAAUAUAUUAUAUUACUGAAGACAUUUCUGUAAUCAUCAAUUUCUUUAAUAAAGAGUUUAA